This 367-nucleotide long non-coding RNA is filed under the name Salvia miltiorrhiza (redroot sage). RNAcentral describes it as "long non-coding RNA (SMIL_LNC003215)". The record is from RNAcentral. Lineage: Eukaryota; Viridiplantae; Streptophyta; Magnoliopsida; Lamiales; Lamiaceae.
UGUGCGUGUGUGUGAGAGAGAGAGGCUCCCGGAUUUGGAUUGAGGGUGUGUAAUUGGAUUUUUCAUUUCACGUUCGACAUUGUUGAAUUUUUUCUGGUGGUUGAUGGAUUCGUGUAAAUUCUGUAAUUGCAGGAUUGAUUAAUUAAUUAAUAUUAAGAGUGUGUGUGAUCAGAUCAGAUGUUUGUGUGUGUGUUUUGGUGCGUGUGCUUGGGAAUUUCUGUUACAAUGUUAUUGUUGUAUAGGUGGAGGCGAUGGAGUGUGCCUACUGUGAGAGUGAGAGUGUGUGUGUGUGAGAGAGAGAAGACAGGGAUGGAGAAAUCAGACAUCGCAUUGGGCUGUGAGAAAAUGAGAAUACAAUUACUCCCUU